CACACAUUCUUUUCUCAAAUUGAGCAGUGACAAGCAGUGUUAAGAUGUUUUGGGUACUUCAGUCAACAAGCUGCCAUCUUCAACAUGGGGCAUACAGAGCAGUUUUCAAGCCUCUAUAGAAGUCAUCUUACAGCGAGUCUGAGCCAGUGGAAUGCAGUUAUAGUGAUAUGUGUGCUCCCAAGGUAGCCCUCAAUGCUCCUACUCGGAAAUACUCAUAUGUUGCUUCUGACUUGAAGCAGAGGAACUCACAACCUAAGAAGCCACAGGCUUGAAGAUGGCAGAGCACAAGAUGGCAGAAGUUUGGAAUGAAUUACUACUUGAAAGAGAAGCUCUUAUUUAC
Molecule: long non-coding RNA, 340 nt
Filed under: Pan troglodytes (chimpanzee)
Lineage: Eukaryota; Metazoa; Chordata; Mammalia; Primates; Hominidae
Description: long non-coding RNA NONPTRT012571
Source: RNAcentral